GCAAACUUGGUCAUUUAGAGGAAGUAAAAGUCGUAACAAGGUCUCCGUUGGUGAACCAGCGGAGGGAUCAUUACCGAGUUAUUCCAACUCCCAAACCCACUGUGAACCUUACCUCUACGUUGCUUCGGCGGGGUCGCCCCGGGCCGCUCGAGCCCGGAACCAGGCGCCCGCCGGAGGCCCCAAAACUCUCCAUGUUUCUUCUCUAGCGGAAUACUUCUGAGUGGCCCUCAGCGGCAAAAACAAAAAUGAAUCAAAACUUUCAACAACGGAUCUCUUGGUUCUGGCAUCGAUGAAGAACGCAGC
Molecule: unclassified non-coding RNA, 303 nt
Filed under: uncultured fungus
Lineage: Eukaryota; Fungi
Description: partial contains small subunit ribosomal RNA, internal transcribed spacer 1, and 5.8S ribosomal RNA
Rfam family: Eukaryotic small subunit ribosomal RNA (bases 1-73)
Source: RNAcentral